Molecule: long non-coding RNA, 272 nt
Filed under: Felis catus (domestic cat)
Lineage: Eukaryota; Metazoa; Chordata; Mammalia; Carnivora; Felidae
Description: lncRNA (ENSFCAG00000049544.1)
Source: RNAcentral
AAGCCUGUGUCAUGUGAAGAAUUGAGCCGCCCUGGACACAUUCCCAUCCCGAAGGCUUAGCUGUGCAAUGAAUGCGAUCAGCCGCUUUCCUUAUACAUGCCUCAGGAAGGAAGCAUCUUGAUUUAAAAGCUGCUUGUGAUGCUGCAUUGGUGAGAGUCCUUUGACCUAGAGAUGCUACACAAUUUGCCAAGUUAGUUGAUGGACUAGAAUCACCAGUAAGUAUCCUGUUUUACUACCUCUAUACUGUUAUUUCUCUACUCUUGGGAAAAAUA